UCUGAAAUAGAAUUCAGACAAGCACACAAUUAUGUCCUAUUUAACUGUGAUGAGCUAAGACCUUUUAUUAAGCAACAUCAACGAUACUUAUUGUCCAAUAACUCACAGCUGACUGAAUCCCAGAUCUUUCAAUUACAAGAUAAAUAAUUUACCACAUGGUUUAGAACACAUGUUUAUCAAAUGGGAGGUAGUGCUACUAUUUCACUAUCUUUACUAAGCCUGGGACUUGAAAGAAAAGUCAAGUGCUAUAAAAGGU
This is a long non-coding RNA of Populus euphratica (Euphrates poplar), 256 nucleotides long. RefSeq lists it as uncharacterized. The transcript is spliced from 3 exons. The record is from RefSeq and is a predicted model, not a curated record. NCBI's taxonomy places the organism in Eukaryota, Viridiplantae, Streptophyta, Magnoliopsida, Malpighiales, Salicaceae.